RNAcentral lists this long non-coding RNA (886 nucleotides) under Brachypodium distachyon (stiff brome). RNAcentral's name for it is "long non-coding RNA (BDIS_LNC004263)". The record is from RNAcentral. Lineage: Eukaryota; Viridiplantae; Streptophyta; Magnoliopsida; Poales; Poaceae.
AUAGUUAUCAGGACUUCAAUAUGAUCAUGAUUGUGGAACUGUAGCUGUUCUGCUGCAUGCAUUUCAACCUAAUCUCCCCAUGGUAAUGGGAGCGCUGAGCUCAGAUCUGCAAUUGUACUUGAAUUAAAGCAGGCUGACUCGUGGAGUCACAUACUCAGCUGACUGUUAUGACAUACGAAAAUACUCCAAUCUACUGUUGGCUUUUGUUGGUUUGUGUCUUUGCUUUAACAAUUCUGGAAGAGCAUUCGCUGCUUAACUAAUUGUGAACAACAGCUUAGUCCAAUCUGCAUUGUGCUACUCCGAGGCCCAUCCAGAAGUCAAUACCUGAAAUAAUUUGAAAUUUCAGUGUCUAACACUAGUAGUCAGAUAUAAAUAUAAUUAAGGAACAAUUUAACUGGUACGGCCUAAAUCCAUAGAUGAGCUUAGUUGUCCCUAUCUCAGAAGAGUGUUCGUAGUUCCUAAGCCAAACUGGUUUUACAACCAGUUAUACAGGCUACAGGCUGGCACUGGCCAGUCACCACCUGUGUGAUGCAAAGAGUAGGCAGUUGAUCUACAAGGUUCUGAACACCAGUAAAGGAACAGUCACGAGGUGUGAUCUGUAGGACGCAAAGUAGGAUCAAAGGCUGCAACAACUGAAAACCAAAACUAGGCUAAAAAUCUUAGUUGCGUCCUGCUUUAGUGCCUUAGUCACAAAGUUGUCACUUCAAAAGGAAGUACAUAAAUACCACAGAUGGAACUGAAAUAGCAGUGUACCAAGUAAAGCCCCAGUCAACCCAACCACCACGUUUCGGCUAAUAUGACUUGAUUGGGCAUUCAAGAAAAUAUGGGUUGAUUGCAAACAUGAAACAUCUAAUUGAAAUAACAUUGCCUGCAAAUUCCAUGGUUU